AAACAUAACUACAUAAGCAUUCUAGAUAUGGAGAAGUCAUCCUUGAAGUUGGUUUAUACUUUGACGCUUCUUAUUGUUGCAAUAGAUCUCCUUUGUAUUAAAGCGACAGCUCUAGGUGAAUUAGCAUGUUUAAAGCAUGAAGAUUGUGCCUACUUAGCUGAAGGUCAUCAUUGUAGACCUUAUUGUGACAUGGGAGAAUUUUGUGACUGUUAUCCAUAUACCGACGAAGAUCGUGAUAUUACAAGUACAAACGACGAACAAAAUAUAUCUCCCGUAUAAUUUUUUUCCCCUUAUGUUUUCUUUAUCUUUCUAAAAAGAGAAUAAUCAUAGACUACCCUAUUAUUAAUUGAAUUUUGUAUACAAGGGUAUAGAAAAAUUUAUAAAAGUUUGGUUCUACUA
Nicotiana tabacum (common tobacco) is the source of this 399-nucleotide long non-coding RNA. RefSeq lists it as uncharacterized. Lineage: Eukaryota; Viridiplantae; Streptophyta; Magnoliopsida; Solanales; Solanaceae. The record is from RefSeq and is a predicted model, not a curated record.